GACGAACGCUGGCGGCGUGCUUAACACAUGCGAGUCGUACGGUAAGGCCCUUUCGGGGGUACACGAGUGGCGAACGGGUGCGUAACACGUGAGUAACCUGCCCACAACUUUGGGAUAACGCUAGGAAACUGGUGCUAAUACUGGAUAUGUGCCCCUGCUGCAUGGUGGGGGUUGGAAAGCUCCGGCGGUUGUGGAUGGACUCGCGGCCUAUCAGCUUGUUGGUGGGGUAGUGGCCUACCAAGGCGGCGACGGGUAGCCGGCCUGAGAGGGUGACCGGCCACAUUGGGACUGAGAUACGGCCCAGACUCCUACGGGAGGCAGCAGUGGGGAAUAUUGCACAAUGGGCGCAAGCCUGAUGCAGCAACGCCGCGUGCGGGAUGACGGCCUUCGGGUUGUAAACCGCGUUCAGCAGGGACGAAGCUUUUUGUGACGGUACCUGCAGAAGAAGCACCGGCUAACUACGUG
Molecule: ribosomal RNA, 465 nt
Filed under: uncultured bacterium
Lineage: Bacteria
Description: partial 16S ribosomal RNA
Rfam family: Bacterial small subunit ribosomal RNA
Source: RNAcentral